UACAGAGGGUGCGAGCGUUAAUCGGAAUUACUAGGCGUAAAGCGUGCGUAGACGGUUACGUAAGUCGGGUGUGAAAGCCCCGGGCUCAACCUGGGAAUUGCAUUCGAGACUGCGCAGCUAGGGUGCGGAAGAGGGAAGCGGAAUUUCCGGUGUAGCGGUGAAAUGCGUAGAUAUCGGAAGGAACAUCAGUGGCGAAAGCGGCUUCCUGGUCCAGCACCGACGUUCAGGCACGAAAGCGUGGGGAGCAAACAGG
RNAcentral lists this ribosomal RNA (253 nucleotides) under uncultured bacterium. Its description in RNAcentral is "partial 16S ribosomal RNA". It matches the Rfam family "Bacterial small subunit ribosomal RNA", at positions 524 to 776 of the family's 1533-position model. The record is from RNAcentral.